AUUGAACGCUGGCGGCAUGCCUUACACAUGCAAGUCGAACGGCAGCACGGGAGCAAUCCUGGUGGCGAGUGGCGAACGGGUGAGUAAUACAUCGGAACGUGCCCAAUCGUGGGGGAUAACGCAGCGAAAGCUGUGCUAAUAUCGCAUAAGAUCUACGGAUGAAAGCAGGGGACCGCAAGGCCUUGCGCGAAUGGAGCGGC
RNAcentral lists this ribosomal RNA (200 nucleotides) under uncultured bacterium. RNAcentral describes it as "partial 16S ribosomal RNA". It matches the Rfam family "Bacterial small subunit ribosomal RNA", at positions 30 to 230 of the family's 1533-position model. The record is from RNAcentral.